Molecule: ribosomal RNA, 465 nt
Filed under: uncultured bacterium
Lineage: Bacteria
Description: partial 16S ribosomal RNA
Rfam family: Bacterial small subunit ribosomal RNA
Source: RNAcentral
CUACGGGGGGCUGCAGUGAGGAAUUUUGCGCAAUGGGGGAAACCCUGACGCAGCAACGCCGCGUGAGUGAUGAAGGCUUUCGGGUCGUAAAGCUCUGUCAAGUGGGAAGAACAUACAUAAGGCCAAUACCUUUAUGUACUGACGGUACCACUGAAGGAAGCACCGGCUAACUCCGUGCCAGCAGCCGCGGUAAUACGGGGGGUGCAAGCGUUAUUCGGAAUCAUUGGGCGUAAAGAGCACGUAGGCGGUUAUCUAAGUCAGAUGUGAAAGCCCGGGGCUUAACCCCGGAAGUGCAUUUGAUACUGGGAAACUUGAGUAUGGGAGAGGGAAGUGGAAUUCCUGGUGUAGAGGUGAAAUUCGUAGAUAUCAGGAGGAACACCGGUGGCGAAGGCGACUUCCUGGACCAAUACUGACGCUGAGGUGCGAAGGCGUGGGGAGCAAACAGGAUUAGAUACCCUGGUAGUC